RNAcentral lists this ribosomal RNA (681 nucleotides) under Bacillus subtilis. RNAcentral's name for it is "bacterial SSU rRNA". It matches the Rfam family "Bacterial small subunit ribosomal RNA", at positions 670 to 1350 of the family's 1533-position model. The record is from RNAcentral. Lineage: Bacteria; Bacillati; Bacillota; Bacilli; Caryophanales; Bacillaceae.
CACGUGUAGCGGUGAAAUUGCGUAGAGAUGUGGAGGAACACCAGUGGCGAAGGCGACUCUCUGGUCUGUAACUGACGCUGAGGAGCGAAAGCGUGGGGAGCGAACAGGAUUAGAUACCCUGGUAGUCCACGCCGUAAACGAUGAGUGCUAAGUGUUAGGGGGUUUCCGCCCCUUAGUGCUGCAGCUAACGCAUUAAGCACUCCGCCUGGGGAGUACGGUCGCAAGACUGAAACUCAAAGGAAUUGACGGGGGCCCGCACAAGCGGUGGAGCAUGUGGUUUAAUUCGAAGCAACGCGAAGAACCUUACCAGGUCUUGACAUCCUCUGACAAUCCUAGAGAUAGGACGUCCCCUUCGGGGGCAGAGUGACAGGUGGUGCAUGGUUGUCGUCAGCUCGUGUCGUGAGAUGUUGGGUUAAGUCCCGCAACGAGCGCAACCCUUGAUCUUAGUUGCCAGCAUUCAGUUGGGCACUCUAAGGUGACUGCCGGUGACAAACCGGAGGAAGGUGGGGAUGACGUCAAAUCAUCAUGCCCCUUAUGACCUGGGCUACACACGUGCUACAAUGGACAGAACAAAGGGCAGCGAAACCGCGAGGUUAAGCCAAUCCCACAAAUCUGUUCUCAGUUCGGAUCGCAGUCUGCAACUCGACUGCGUGAAGCUGGAAUCGCUAGUAAUCGCGGAUC